UAAGCGGAGGAAAAGAAACUAACAAGGAUUCCCCUAGUAACUGCGAGUGAAGCGGGAAAAGCUCAAAUUUAAAAUCUGGUGGUCUUUGGCCAUCCGAGUUGUAAUCUAGAGAAGCGUCUUNCGCGCUGGACCGUGCACAAGUCUCCUGGAACGGAGCGUCGUAGAGGGUGAGAAUCCCGUCUUUGGCAUGGACACACAGGGCUUUUGUGAUGCGCUCUCGAAGAGUCGAGUUGUUUGGGAAUGCAGCUCAAAAUGGGUGGUGAACUCCAUCUAAAGCUAAAUAUUGGCGAGAGACCGAUAGCGAACAAGUACCGUGAGGGAAAGAUGAAAAGCACUUUGGAAAGAGAGUGAAACAGUACGUGAAAUUGUUGAAAGGGAAACGCUUGAAGUCAGUCGCGUCGACCGAGACUCAGCCUCGCCUCGGCUUGGUGUACUUCUUGGCCCGACGGGUCAGCAUCAAUUUCGCCUCUUGGAUAAUGGCGAGGGAAACGUGACACCUUUACGGUGUGUUAUAGUCUCUCGUCGCAUGCAAGGGUCGGGAUUGAGGAACUCAGCACGCGCCUUUGGGCGUCGGGGCUUUGCCUACGAUACGUGCUUAGGAUGUUGGCGUAAUGGCUUUAAACGACC
Molecule: ribosomal RNA, 627 nt
Filed under: uncultured Russulaceae
Lineage: Eukaryota; Fungi; Basidiomycota; Agaricomycetes; Russulales; Russulaceae
Description: LSU rRNA
Rfam family: Eukaryotic large subunit ribosomal RNA
Source: RNAcentral